AGACCCGAAACCCGGUGAUCUAGCCAUGGGCAGGUUGAAGGUUGGGUAACACUAACUGGAGGACCGAACCGACUAAUGUUGAAAAAUUAGCGGAUGACCUGUGGCUGGGGGUGAAAGGCCAAUCAAACCGGGAGAUAGCUGGUUCUCCCCGAAAGCUAUUUAGGUAGCGCCUCGUGAAUUCAUCUCCGGGGGUAGAGCACUGUUUCGGCUAGGGGGCCAUCCCGGCUUACCAACCCGAUGCAAACUGCGAAUACCGGAGAAUGUUAUCACGGGAGACACACGGCGGGUGCUAACGUCCGUCGUGAAGAGGGAAACAACCCAGACCGCCAGCUAAGGUCCCAAAGUCAUGGUUAAGUGGGAAACGAUGUGGGAAGGCCCAGACAGCCAGGAUGUUGGCUUAGAAGCAGCCAUCAUUUAAAGAAAGCGUAAUAGCUCACUGGUCGAGUCGGCCUGCGCGGAAGAUGUAACGGGGCUAAACCAUGCACCGAAGCUGCGGCAGCGACACUCAGGUGUUGUUGGGUAGGGGAGCGUUCUGUAAGCCUGUGAAGGUGUGCUGUGAGGCAUGCUGGAGGUAUCAGAAGUGCGAAUGCUGACAUAAGUAACGAUAAAGCGGGUGAAAAGCCCGCUCGCCGGAAGA
RNAcentral lists this ribosomal RNA (637 nucleotides) under Salmonella enterica. Its description in RNAcentral is "partial 23S ribosomal RNA". It matches the Rfam family "Bacterial large subunit ribosomal RNA", at positions 711 to 1344 of the family's 2925-position model. Lineage: Bacteria; Pseudomonadati; Pseudomonadota; Gammaproteobacteria; Enterobacterales; Enterobacteriaceae. The record is from RNAcentral. RNAcentral also lists the same sequence under 2 other names.